Molecule: ribosomal RNA, 579 nt
Filed under: Salmonella enterica subsp. enterica serovar Heidelberg
Lineage: Bacteria; Pseudomonadati; Pseudomonadota; Gammaproteobacteria; Enterobacterales; Enterobacteriaceae
Description: partial 23S ribosomal RNA
Rfam family: Bacterial large subunit ribosomal RNA
Source: RNAcentral
AGACCCGAAACCCGGUGAUCUAGCCAUGGGCAGGUUGAAGGUUGGGUAACACUAACUGGAGGACCGAACCGACUAAUGUUGAAAAAUUAGCGGAUGACCUGUGGCUGGGGGUGAAAGGCCAAUCAAACCGGGAGAUAGCUGGUUCUCCCCGAAAGCUAUUUAGGUAGCGCCUCGUGAAUUCAUCUCCGGGGGUAGAGCACUGUUUCGGCUAGGGGGCCAUCCCGGCUUACCAACCCGAUGCAAACUGCGAAUACCGGAGAAUGUUAUCACGGGAGACACACGGCGGGUGCUAACGUCCGUCGUGAAGAGGGAAACAACCCAGACCGCCAGCUAAGGUCCCAAAGUCAUGGUUAAGUGGGAAACGAUGUGGGAAGGCCCAGACAGCCAGGAUGUUGGCUUAGAAGCAGCCAUCAUUUAAAGAAAGCGUAAUAGCUCACUGGUCGAGUCGGCCUGCGCGGAAGAUGUAACGGGGCUAAACCAUGCACCGAAGCUGCGGCAGCGACGCUGAUGCGUUGUUGGGUAGGGGAGCGUUCUGUAAGCCUGCGAAGGUGACCUGUGAGGGUUGCUGGAGGUAUCAGA